UAAUGGGUCAGCGACUUAUAUUCUGUAGCAAGGUUAACCGAAUAGGGGAGCCGAAGGGAAACCGAGUCUUAACUGGGCGUUAAGUUGCAGGGUAUAGACCCGAAACCCGGUGAUCUAGCCAUGGGCAGGUUGAAGGUUGGGUAACACUAACUGGAGGACCGAACCGACUAAUGUUGAAAAAUUAGCGGAUGACUUGUGGCUGGGGGUGAAAGGCCAAUCAAACCGGGAGAUAGCUGGUUCUCCCCGAAAGCUAUUUAGGUAGCGCCUCGUGAAUUCAUCUCCGGGGGUAGAGCACUGUUUCGGCAAGGGGGUCAUCCCGACUUACCAACCCGAUGCAAACUGCGAAUACCGGAGAAUGUUAUCACGGGAGACACACGGCGGGUGCUAACGUCCGUCGUGAAGAGGGAAACAACCCAGACCGCCAGCUAAGGUCCCAAAGUCAUGGUUAAGUGGGAAACGAUGUGGGAAGGCCCAGACAGCCAGGAUGUUGGCUUAGAAGCAGCCAUCAUUUAAAGAAAGCGUAAUAGCUCACUGGUCGAGUCGGCCUGCGCGGAAGAUGUAACGGGGCUAAACCAUGCACCGAAGCUGCGGCAGCGACACUAUGUGUUGUUGGGUAGGGGAGCGUUCUGUAAGCCUGUGAAGGUGGCCUGUGAGGGUUGCUGGAGGUAUCAGAAGUGCGAAUGCUGACAUAAGUAACGAUAAAGCGGGUGAAAAGCCCGCUCGCCGGAAGACCAAGGGUUCCUGUCCAACGUUAAUCGGGGCAGGGUGAGUCGACCCCUAAGGCGAGGCCGAAAGGCGUAGUCGAUGGGAAACAGGUUAAUAUUCCUGUACUUGGUGUUACUGCGAAGGGGGGACGGAGAAGGCUAUGUUGGCCGGGCGACGGUUGUCCCGGUUUAAGCGUGUAGGCUGGUUUUCCAGGCAAAUCCGGAAAACCAAGGCUGAGGCGUGAUGACGAGGCACUACGGUGCUGAAGCGACAAAUGCCCUGCUUCCAGGAAAAGCCUCUAAGCAUCAGGUAACAUCAAAUCGUACCCCAAACCGACACAGGUGGUCAGGUAGAGAAUACCAAGGCGCUUGAGAGAACUCGGGUGAAGGAACUAGGCAAAAUGGUGCCGUAACUUCGGGAGAAGGCACGCUGAUAUGUAGGUGAAGCGACUUGCUCGUGGAGCUGAAAUCAGUCGAAGAUACCAGCUGGCUGCAACUGUUUAUUAAAAACACAGCACUGUGCAAACACGAAAGUGGACGUAUACGGUGUGACGCCUGCCCGGUGCCGGAAGGUUAAUUGAUGGGGUUAGCGGCAACGCGAAGCUCUUGAUCGAAGCCCCGGUAAACGGCGGCCGUAACUAUAACGGUCCUAAGGUAGCGAAAUUCCUUGUCGGGUAAGUUCCGACCUGCACGAAUGGCGUAAUGAUGGCCAGGCUGUCUCCACCCGAGACUCAGUGAAAUUGAACUCGCUGUGAAGAUGCAGUGUACCCGCGGCAAGACGGAAAGACCCCGUGAACCUUUACUAUAGCUUGACACUGAACAUUGAGCCUUGAUGUGUAGGAUAGGUGGGAGGCUUUGAAGUGUGGACGCCAGUCUGCAUGGAGCCGACCUUGAAAUACCACCCUUUAAUGUUUGAUGUUCUAACGUUGGCCCGUAAUCCGGGUUGCGGACAGUGUCUGGUGGGUAGUUUGACUGGGGCGGUCUCCUCCUAAAGAGUAACGGAGGAGCACGAAGGUUGGCUAAUCCUGGUCGGACAUCAGGAGGUUAGUGCAAUGGCAUAAGCCAGCUUGACUGCGAGCGUGACGGCGCGAGCAGGUGCGAAAGCAGGUCAUAGUGAUCCGGUGGUUCUGAAUGGAAGGGCCAUCGCUCAACGGAUAAAAGGUACUCCGGGGAUAACAGGCUGAUACCGCCCAAGAGUUCAUAUCGACGGCGGUGUUUGGCACCUCGAUGUCGGCUCAUCACAUCCUGGGGCUGAAGUAGGUCCCAAGGGUAUGGCUGUUCGCCAUUUAAAGUGGUACGCGAGCUGGGUUUAGAACGUCGUGAGACAGUUCGGUCCCUAUCUGCCGUGGGCGCUGGAGAACUGAGGGGGGCUGCUCCUAGUACGAGAGGACCGGAGUGGACGCAUCACUGGUGUUCGGGUUGUCAUGCCAAUGGCACUGCCCGGUAGCUAAAUGCGGAAGAGAUAAGUGCUGAAAGCAUCUAAGCACGAAACUUGCCCCGAGAUGAGUUCUCCCUGACUCCUUGAGAGUCCUGAAGGAACGUUGAAGACGACGACGUUGAUAGGCCGGGUGUGUAAGCGCAGCGAUGCGUUGAGCUAACCGGUACUAAUGAACCGUGAGGCUUAACCUUACAACGCCGAAG
RNAcentral lists this ribosomal RNA (2345 nucleotides) under Escherichia coli. RNAcentral's name for it is "partial 23S ribosomal RNA". It matches the Rfam family "Bacterial large subunit ribosomal RNA", at positions 613 to 2925 of the family's 2925-position model. Lineage: Bacteria; Pseudomonadati; Pseudomonadota; Gammaproteobacteria; Enterobacterales; Enterobacteriaceae. The record is from RNAcentral.